AUUGAACGCUGGCGGCAUGCCUUACACAUGCAAGUCGAACGGUAACAGGUCUUCGGAUGCUGACGAGUGGCGAACGGGUGAGUAAUACAUCGGAACGUGCCCAGACGUGGGGGAUAACGAGGCGAAAGCUUUGCUAAUACCGCAUACGAUCUAAGGAUGAAAGCAGGGGACCGCAAGGCCUUGCGCGUUUGGAGCGGCUGAUGGCAGAUUAGGUAGUUGGUGGGAUAAAAGCUUACCAAGCCGACGAUCUGUAGCUGGUCUGAGAGGACGACCAGCCACACUGGGACUGAGACACGGCCCAGACUCCUACGGGAGGCAGCAGUGGGGAAUUUUGGACAAUGGGCGAAAGCCUGAUCCAGCAAUGCCGCGUGCAGGAUGAAGGCC
RNAcentral lists this ribosomal RNA (384 nucleotides) under uncultured bacterium. RNAcentral describes it as "bacterial SSU rRNA". It matches the Rfam family "Bacterial small subunit ribosomal RNA", at positions 30 to 416 of the family's 1533-position model. The record is from RNAcentral.